This 253-nucleotide ribosomal RNA is filed under the name uncultured bacterium. RNAcentral's name for it is "partial 16S ribosomal RNA". It matches the Rfam family "Bacterial small subunit ribosomal RNA", at positions 524 to 776 of the family's 1533-position model. The record is from RNAcentral.
UACGAAGGGUGCAAGCGUUACUCGGAAUUACUGGGCGUAAAGCGUGCGCAGGCGGUUCGUUGUGUCGGUGGUGAAAUCCCCGGGCUUAACCUGGGAAUGGCCAUGGAAACUGGCGAACUGGAGUGUGGCAGAGGGGGGUGGAAUUCCGCGUGUAGCAGUGAAAUGCGUAGAGAUGCGGAGGAACACCGAUGGCGAAGGCAGCCCCCUGGGCUAGCACUGACGCUCAGGCACGAAAGCGUGGGGAGCAAACAGG